RNAcentral lists this transfer RNA (71 nucleotides) under Stegodyphus mimosarum. It matches the Rfam family "tRNA". From Rfam's summary of the family: Transfer RNA (tRNA) molecules are approximately 80 nucleotides in length. Lineage: Eukaryota; Metazoa; Arthropoda; Arachnida; Araneae; Eresidae. The record is from Rfam by way of RNAcentral.
GACUUCGUAGUGUAAUAGUAUCACCCUCGACGCGUAUUCGAGAGGUCCAGGUUCGAAUCCCGGCUAGGGCA